Molecule: long non-coding RNA, 398 nt
Filed under: Nicotiana benthamiana
Lineage: Eukaryota; Viridiplantae; Streptophyta; Magnoliopsida; Solanales; Solanaceae
Description: long non-coding RNA (NBEN_LNC042394)
Source: RNAcentral
GUUGAAUAAAAAAGCACAUGAAAUAAAAAAGAGAAUAAAGUGAAGAAAAAAAAUUGUAUGAUUUCCAUAAGAAAAUAAUUUCUGAAAGCGUCGGUUUUUAUGCUCUCUCCCGGCAAGAUCCGUCGGCGUCUUCCCUCAUUUCCUUCUUCGUUAGCUUCUGUGAUUCAAGAAAAUAUUUUGAUAAAUAGGGAUUCAAUGAUAGCCCUCUUUUUCGCCUAAAACCCAACACAUUUUAUAUUCCAACAUCUACAAUACGACCAUAUAUUGGCACAAAAUCUGGUAAAAGGAGACACAAAAAGGCUACCUUUUUUCUUAGAUUUCAAAACUCAAAACCCAUUUUAAGUUAGUCUUAGUUUUCGAGUGUGGGGUUUUUAAUAUAAUCCCCCCCCCCCCCCCCC